UGGGGAAUAUUGCACAAUGGGCGCAAGCCUGAUGCAGCCAUGCCGCGUGUGUGAAGCAGGCCUUCGGGUUGUAAAGCACUUUCAGCGGGGAGGAAGGCGGUGAGGUUAAUAACCUCAUCGAUCGACGUUACCCGCAGAAGAAGCACCGGCUAACUCCGUGCCAGCAGCCGCGGUAAUACGGAGGGUGCAAGCGUUAAUCGGAAUUACUGGGCGUAAAGCGCACGCAGGCGGUCUGUCAAGUCGGAUGUGAAAUCCCCGGGCUUAACCUGGGAACUGCAUUCGAAACUGGCAGGCUAGAGUCUUGUAGAGGGGGGUAGAAUUCCAGGUGUAGCGGUGAAAUGCGUAGAGAUCUGGAGGAAUACCGGUGGCGAAGGCGGCCCCCUGGACAAAGACUGACGCUCAGGUGCGAAAGCGUGGGGAGCAAACAGG
RNAcentral lists this ribosomal RNA (429 nucleotides) under Chloroflexota bacterium. RNAcentral's name for it is "Chloroflexi bacterium partial 16S ribosomal RNA". It matches the Rfam family "Bacterial small subunit ribosomal RNA", at positions 355 to 776 of the family's 1533-position model. The record is from RNAcentral. Lineage: Bacteria; Bacillati; Chloroflexota.